UACAGAGGGUGCGAGCGUUGUUCGGAAUUAUUGGGCGUAAAGGGCGCGUAGGCGGUGCGGUAAGUCACCUGUGAAAUCUCCUGGCUCAACUGGGAGCUUGCAGGCGAAACUGCCGUGCUGGAGUGUGGGAGAGGUGCGUGGAAUUCCCGGUGUAGCGGUGAAAUGCGUAGAUAUCAGGAGGAACACCGGUGGUGUAGACGGCUCUCUGGACCGUAACUGACGCUGAGGCACGAAAGCGUGGGUAGCAAACAGG
RNAcentral lists this ribosomal RNA (253 nucleotides) under uncultured bacterium. RNAcentral's name for it is "partial 16S ribosomal RNA". It matches the Rfam family "Bacterial small subunit ribosomal RNA", at positions 524 to 776 of the family's 1533-position model. The record is from RNAcentral.